CGUGUAGGCGGUUGGAAAAGUCAGGUGUGAAAUUCUUCGGCUCAACCGGGGGACUGCGCCUGAAACUUUCCGACUGGAGCUCGGGAGGGGCAACUGGAAUUCCUGGUGUAACGGUGAAAUGUGUAGAUAUCAGGAGGAACACCCGUGGCGAAGGCGGGUUGCUGGACCGAAACUGACGCUGAGACGCGAAAGCGUGGGUAGCAAACAG
Molecule: ribosomal RNA, 208 nt
Filed under: uncultured bacterium
Lineage: Bacteria
Description: partial 16S ribosomal RNA
Rfam family: Bacterial small subunit ribosomal RNA
Source: RNAcentral